This 413-nucleotide ribosomal RNA is filed under the name uncultured Rhizophagus. RNAcentral's name for it is "partial 28S ribosomal RNA". The record is from RNAcentral. Lineage: Eukaryota; Fungi; Glomeromycota; Glomeromycetes; Glomerales; Glomeraceae.
GAGAGUUAAACAGUACGUGAAAUUGUUGAAAGGGAAACGAUUGAAGCCAGUCGUACCUUCGGGUAAUCAGCCUUUCGGGUGCGAUUCUGUGGAGUGUGAGGAGCUUAAACACCUUCAUGUUUUGCAUAUUCGUACUCUUGGGUGUACUUGUCCGUGUGGUUGGUUAACAUCAAUUUUGGUGGUCAUAAAAUGACUGGGGGAAUGUAGCUUCGAUCUUGUAUUGAAGUGUUAUAGCCUUCGGUAGAUGUGAUGAUCGAGAUUGAGGAUUGCAACGGAUACCCUUUGGGGCUACCUGUCUGAUCUCUGAUCGUUGCUUUGGUGCCGAAAGCUUGCUUACGGUUAUCAAAGUCGAUGGUCAAUAGGUUAGAACGGGUUAAAUUCGUUAAGGAUGUUGACGUAAUGGCUUUAAACGA